This is a long non-coding RNA of Lycium barbarum (goji berry), 557 nucleotides long. RefSeq lists it as uncharacterized. The transcript has 2 exons. Lineage: Eukaryota; Viridiplantae; Streptophyta; Magnoliopsida; Solanales; Solanaceae. The record is from RefSeq and is a predicted model, not a curated record.
AUUUUGAGCGAGAUAAAUUCUCGGGAUGGCCUAUUUAUAGGGGAAGUGCUGCCGAAUUUUCUGUAGAAUUUAAUGAUUAGUUGGAAAGAAUGGCUCAAGUGUCCUUAACUAAUGUUUGGUAUUCGUUGGCGUAUUUGUAGACCUUGGGGAGCCCGAGGCGUAGAUUGGAAAUUUACUUUAGAUUGGCUAUUUUGGAAGUGCGUAAGAGGUACAGACGCACAGCCUGGUGAUCCACCUGUUUAGGACACCCUUUCUGCUAUUCGGAGUGCUCCUCUCUUUCCGGAGCUUAUACUUUUGGUAUAUAUAUUUUUAUUAGUGCAUUUGUAUAUAUUCGUUCAUGGGUACGGCGGGGGCCCUGUCCCGUCAUAUGAUUCUGUCGGUCUGUUUAGAGGUCUGUGGACAUGUUUGUGGGUUAGGGUCUUUCUGUAUGGAUGUAUGUACAUGUCGUUUGGGCGAUCCCAUACGCCGAGGCGGCCGGUCCGCAUAUGUUGUUUGGGCGAUCCUAUACGCCGAGGCGGCCGGUCCGCAUAUGUUUAUAUAUUGCUUGGUUAGCCCUG